This 1367-nucleotide ribosomal RNA is filed under the name Pseudoduganella rivuli. RNAcentral describes it as "partial 23S ribosomal RNA". It matches the Rfam family "Bacterial large subunit ribosomal RNA", at positions 1585 to 2925 of the family's 2925-position model. The record is from RNAcentral. Lineage: Bacteria; Pseudomonadati; Pseudomonadota; Betaproteobacteria; Burkholderiales; Oxalobacteraceae.
GCGAAGCAAUCGGAAGUGGUUCCAAGAAAAGCCUCUAAGCUUCAGUCAUACGAGACCGUACCGCAAACCGACACAGGUGGGCGAGAUGAGUAUUCUAAGGCGCUUGAGAGAACUCGGGAGAAGGAACUCGGCAAAUUGGUACCGUAACUUCGGGAAAAGGUACGCCCCGGUAGCUUGACUGGCCUGCGCCAGGAGGGUGAAAGGGUUGCAAUAAACUGGUGGCUGCGACUGUUUAAUAAAAACACAGCACUCUGCAAACACGAAAGUGGACGUAUAGGGUGUGACGCCUGCCCGGUGCUGGAAGAUUAAAUGAUGGGGUGCAAGCUCUUGAUUGAAGUCCCAGUAAACGGCGGCCGUAACUAUAACGGUCCUAAGGUAGCGAAAUUCCUUGUCGGGUAAGUUCCGACCUGCACGAAUGGCGUAACGAUGGCCACACUGUCUCCUCCCGAGACUCAGCGAAGUUGAAGUGUUUGUGAUGAUGCAAUCUACCCGCGGCUAGACGGAAAGACCCCAUGAACCUUUACUGUAGCUUUGCAUUGGACUUUGAACCAAUCUGUGUAGGAUAGGUGGGAGGCUUUGAAGCGGGGACGCCAGUUCCCGUGGAGCCAACCUUGAAAUACCACCCUGGUUUGUUUGAGGUUCUAACCUUGGCCCGUAAUCCGGGUCGGGGACAGUGCAUGGUAGGCAGUUUGACUGGGGCGGUCUCCUCCUAAAGUGUAACGGAGGAGUUCGAAGGUACGCUAGGUACGGUCGGACAUCGUGCUAAUAGUGCAAUGGCAUAAGCGUGCUUAACUGCGAGACCGACAAGUCGAGCAGGUACGAAAGUAGGACAUAGUGAUCCGGUGGUUCUGUAUGGAAGGGCCAUCGCUCAACGGAUAAAAGGUACUCUGGGGAUAACAGGCUGAUUCCUCCCAAGAGUUCAUAUCGACGGGGGAGUUUGGCACCUCGAUGUCGGCUCAUCACAUCCUGGGGCUGUAGCCGGUCCCAAGGGUAUGGCUGUUCGCCAUUUAAAGUGGUACGUGAGCUGGGUUUAAAACGUCGUGAGACAGUUUGGUCCCUAUCUGCCGUGGGCGUUGGAAAUUUGAAGGGGGCUGCUCCUAGUACGAGAGGACCGGAGUGGACGAACCUCUGGUGUACCGGUUGUCACGCCAGUGGCAUUGCCGGGUAGCUAAGUUCGGAAGAGAUAACCGCUGAAAGCAUCUAAGCGGGAAACUUGCCUUAAGAUGAGAUUUCCCGGAGCUUUAAGCUCCUUGAAGGGUCGUUCGAGACCAGGACGUUGAUAGGCUGGGUGUGGAAGUGCAGUAAUGCAUUAAGCUAACCAGUACUAAUUGCCCGUACGGCUUGUCCCUAUAACCUUGCCGGUUAUA